This 1948-nucleotide long non-coding RNA is filed under the name Musa acuminata (dwarf banana). RNAcentral's name for it is "long non-coding RNA (MACU_LNC000823)". Lineage: Eukaryota; Viridiplantae; Streptophyta; Magnoliopsida; Zingiberales; Musaceae. The record is from RNAcentral.
GAGUUGUCUUCCUGCUGCUCUGGUGAAUUGACCCAGUUCUCAGUGUAUAACUUUGUAUGCAAUUAUCACUGCAAAAAAAAAAAACAGCAGAUUCUGUGCUCAAAUUGAAACUAAAGAAUCCUGUGUUCAAAUAAUAGAAUAAUGAUCAUAUUCUUGUAACUCGAUCUGAGUGUAGUUCAGUGUAGAAUAAUAGAAUGAUGCAGUUCAGUGAUAUCUUCAGCCUGAAUAACAUGAGUGUUUUGACUGACAACCUAUGCCUACAAUCAGUUUUGGUCCAGAAAGAAAGAUAAAAUUUACAUGUCUGCCACCAUUAGAAGCAAACCUUCAAUACUUAUUAUUAAAUUAAAGCCAAAAAUUUUAAAGGUAAAAUCUUAUUCUGUGUAGUACAAAAUCAUGGAUCCUGCAUUGAUUAAUAACCAUGGAGCAGCAUGCUUCAGGAAAAAAGAAUAGGCAUGUACAAGUUGUAAAAUCACAGAAAUUAGCCAUCUAUCUUAUACUGUGAUACAAAUGUUGAAAUUCUGUCACGUGAUCCGACUUCUAACCAAAAAUAAACACAAGAUUCCAUUAAGGACAGUCGAUAUAUUACCCUAAGCUACACUUGACUGUCUUACAAGACACCACCAAUUAGGAACGACACUUCAAAAUUCUUCAAAACAAUGAAAACAUUUACUAAGUUUAGAUAAGAACAAAUUGAAGAAUUAAUACAACCUCCAUAAACUGAAUCAGAGUACAAGUGCCACCUCUUCAACUCCUCCUUUGAAUUAAAGUUGAACACAAAUCUUUCACUUGGAGCCAUUGGAUGAUCUACAUUCCAUGCCAGGGCUGUAAAUUAACAUUAAAAAGAAAAAGAAAAGUCCUAAACCAAUUUCAAGAUACUGUAUCCCCUUUUUCAAUAAACCUUGUUAAACAAUUUGGAAGCAGCUAAAAUUUCUCUUCAUUAUUUAUCUUAAAUUGCCAUCAAAAAAUUAUUGCAAAGGAUUUAAUUUUAUUUUCAAUUAAUAGUAGCAUUAAGAUCAUUAAACAAUUUCAUGUCAUUAAGUCAUGACAAUAUAAUAAGAUGCACAUGUGAGCAGAUUUAUUUUAUACAAUCAUGUCUGCAUCAGAACAGCAUAAGUCUAACGAGUUCAAAACAAAUGAAGCAGGCAAGAAGCAGAUAUAAUUUCUGAUAAUUGUAUGCAUGCUUACAACAACCAAUGCAUAUUGCAAAACUUCCCAUGAUAUGAAAAUGUGUUGGUAGUUAGUGGAUAUUAACUUCAAAGCAAAUAGCAUAAUUUAAAAGGCAUUUUAGAAAGUAUUAAUUCUGGAAACUGAUAUCUUUGAGUUCAAUCAUUCAUGGUCAACCAAAUGCCACUUAGAAUCAACAGGAAGGCUCUGCAACAUAGAAGUGCUUACCAAAAUGUCUUUCUACUUUUUUUCUCGCUCAUUGUCCACGGUUCUACUUGAUUCCAACCAAUUUUAAACGUUGUUUUAACUCUCACCAGACAUGCAUGUUACAAUAUAGUGACACACAAAAAUGCAUCACCCUGUGGUCAAUCAACUUAUAAUAUAUGGAUCUGCAGUGAUGACUUCAGAAAUUCAUAACCGUGAUCCUUUGGUGCAAUGCUAGGUAGGCAAUAAAAAUACACUUGAAAGAAGUCAUAUUACAGGAGACAGUGAUAUCCUCAAUUGCUGGAUAUUUUCUGUCAGCCACUCAACUACGAUUUUCUAGGGACGAGGAUUUGUUGUCCCUUGUGAUGCAUCGUCACUUUGGCCCAUAACUUUAUUCUUGAAAAAGACAUAUUGCUAGAUGUGGAACAAUGUGGAUACGACAACGACAUUGAAUAAUUUGGACUUGUUGAUGGCAAAAGGACCUAUAUUUCGACGUACAUGAAAUGUGGGAAUCAUGGAUUAGGUUUUCCAGUAGGGGCAAAAACAUACACUAUGUGAAAGCUUUCUUACGAAUGCGCAC